Suncus etruscus (white-toothed pygmy shrew) is the source of this 107-nucleotide small nuclear RNA. NCBI's taxonomy places the organism in Eukaryota, Metazoa, Chordata, Mammalia, Eulipotyphla, Soricidae. The record is from RefSeq and is a predicted model, not a curated record.
GUGCUCACUUUGGCAGCACUAAUACUAAAAUUGGAAUGAUAUAGAAAAGAUUUGCAUGGCCUCUGUGCAAGGAUAACAUGCAAAUUCAUGAGGCAUACCAUUUUUUU